This 230-nucleotide unclassified non-coding RNA is filed under the name uncultured fungus. RNAcentral's name for it is "sequence contains ITS1". Lineage: Eukaryota; Fungi. The record is from RNAcentral.
GUCUCAUUAUCGCAUUCCAUCCCAACCACUAUCUGACAAACAUGACAAGCGUGAAUAGCGCAGUCCGGGAGCCACGAAUACGGCCCCUCUCCCAUACCAUACCAUACCAUACGAGCUGGUACUAUAUGGGGGGGGACUCACUCCCGCGACUGCGCUACACAUAACACAUAAUGCAAUGUGUCAAUGCGUCUCUUUUGUGAAUGAUCCUUCCGCAGGUUCACCUACGGAAA